CUGACAGGGUUGGAAUGUGCCCUGGACUCCCCUUUCUUGUGCAAAGAGUCACUAGGGUGCCUCCAACCCUGGCUACUCUGUCACCCAAUCAAUCAAUGCUACAGUCAAAGUCCAUUAUUUACCACGGUGGGGCAAGGACAGUUUGCAGUAGCUCUAGCCCUAAGACAGACACAUGUGCAGGACACAGCCACGGUAAAGGCUGCAGAUAAAUUCAACUGUGUAAGGAAGAUCCAGUUACAUGUGGGCAACGGCAGCCAAUGGGCUGGGGCCUGAGAAUCAGCAUUCAUCCGUUUCUUGACUGUGUGACAGCCUGAAUCCAACCUCAGUGUGCCUCUGUCAGAUUAACAGGAUAGCUGGAAGUCCCGCUGGCCAUCGGACACUCGUUCAUUAGGUGCUAACUAUGUGUCAGGCACUGGGUACUGGGAUGCGAUGGUGAACAAGACAGCCACAGACCAGCUCUCCUUGGAAACUGAGCUCAGAGGUGGAAACCAACCUAAAUAAACGAACUUGCCAGCCAGUGGGUAGAUGAGGCUGAACCAAUACAUACUGGGUCUGCAUGUGGAAGAAUGAGGCUUGCAGCCAACGGCCGUCCACAUCUCUGAUGAGGAUCAGCCACUGGCCACAAGAGUAGGCCUCUACCUGCCAUCAUGUUUGUGGACUGAUACCACUUUCACCCCGUGAUUGACACCUCCAUCCCAUCAUUGAUACCUCCACCCCAUGAUUGACACCUCCAUCCUGUGAUUGAAACCUCCAUCCCAUGAUUGAUACAUCCAUCCAUUGAUUGACACCUCCAUCCUGUGAUUGACACCCCCAUCUCGUGACUGAGUAAAAUAGUGUCAUCUGGAUUAAAUGUCCACCAUCAGGACUAUUUGCUUUCAAGUCUAUAAUAAGAAAAUAGGUCUACAUGGUGGUGGUGCACGCCUUCAAUCUCAGCACUCAGGAGCAGAGGCAGGUGAAUCUCUGAGUUCGAAGCUAGAGCAAGUUCCAGGACAGCCAGAGCUGCACAGAGAAACACUGUCUUGGGGAGAAAAAAAAAAGGAUCUAGCAACGUUGUUUUUUGGCUAGAGUCUUGAACAAAGGAAGGUCUGAAUGAGGAGAGUUUAGUCUACUGUGUGCACCGAGUCAUCAGGGAGACAAAAAUAAAUCCACUGGAGAGGAAGAAAAGCAAUUAAAACAGUCCUUCUCAACAAAGAAGAGGAAAGUAUGUAUUUACUAUGAAACUUUGGGGUUACAAGAUGGCUCGGCAGGUAAAACUGCUUGCUUCCCACGCUUGGUAUGAAUCAAGUCCCUAAAACCAUAGUGGGAGCUGACUCCAUUUAUGCUCUGAAGACUAGGCUGGCCUUGAACUCAGAGAUCUGCCUGCCUCUGUCUCCUGUGCUAGACUAAAGGCAUGUGCCACCACCGCCUGGCCCAUUGCACAGUGCUUAAGGACAUGCUCCAAGGGGUCCUCCUGAAGGACAGACUUUCUUCAAUAACGUCCACACCUUAAUGUCUGUAUCACUUUUCAGGAAUGCCAUCAAAAUUUGAAGGCACCAAUGGGUUGCUUCCACUGCUAGCUACACUGAGGAUCAAGCUUUCAGUGCAGGAGCCUUUGGGGGACACUCACAUCUACCCAAAACAUAAGAGCGGGUAAGAAGAUUGGGCUCAAUAUGUGUCACAGUGGCCCAGUCUUGGCACCCAAUCUCACAAGACUAUUUCCUCAUCUGUAAAAUCAGAUUGGAAACAGCAACUAUUUCUCACAGUUUUCCAAAAAGCUAGAGCCAGUAGUAUGUGUGCAGAGUAGACCAGGAGGCAGAAGACUCAGAAAACAGUUCUGUCUGGUCUAAAAACAGGCUGCUUGCUGAGUUCCUUGCUCUUGGGGGAUGAGUCUUUGCUCUUAUUCGGCCCUCAGCUGAUUAGACAAGGCUACCCCCAGUCCUGGGUUGUAUACUUCUUUACUCUGUCUAGAGGUAUACAUUUUAAUGUCAUCUGACAUCCUGAAUGUUAGACCAAAUAUCUAAGCAUUCUACUCAGCCAAGUUGACAUAUAAAAUUAAUCAUCACAGCUGGUCCCAGGGACAGGCUUGGAGAUCUAACUAGUCAGGAAAUAAUAGAAGUCCUCUACGUUCUGAAAGCUUCUCUCCCACAAUGAGGGACUCUGUGGGCUGUGUUUGUACCCCACGGCAAGAGUACUGGUACACUGGGAGCUCAGCAGCCCCUGGAUGGAUCCUUGUUCUUUCUUCUGUCUGUCUAAGCUGACACUCUCCCUCCUAGUCACCCCCAGGUGCACCCCAGCCAGUCCUCAGGUGAGGGGGUCGGGAGAGGCCCUGGAGUUGCCUGAUACUAGAUACUUCCUUCCUGCCGGAUUAAGGAAGUAUUGUCAGCAUCGAGUCUGUGUUUACCAAAUUAACAAAUGGACUUCAAGUCAAACACUAGGCGAUUUGUGAGAUGGAUUUCUCAACAACGUGCCAACUGAGGGGGUCGCUCCCAGGUGCCGGGCUGUUUGCCGCUUCUUGGACUACUGGACUUUGACAUCAUGUCACUUUAAGGUGCUCUUCGUGGAAAGCUGUGACCCUGCCAUUCCUUAGGCAGGGCGGAGAGCCUCCACGCAGGUGUUCCGAGGUCAGCUGGAGUCCGGCUUUGCUUUGGGGCCAGCUGCUUUCUUCUGGUCCCAACAGACACAAAGAUUCUUGGUCAGUGGCUCCAGAAUGGAAAAUAAAGUGUGUUGAAACACUUGCUCCCCACUAGGCAUCUCCAUCAUGGGUAGAGCAGGGCCUCCAGCCAGACACUGGCUCUCUGCUAACUGUGGCAAAGACAGCAGAGACAGCAGGGCCCCAGCGCCUGGACCUGCUGUCCGUAGAUGCGUGUUUGCAUCCUGUCCAUGCCUGGGAAGCCACUGCUUCUUUGCCUUGGUACUUAGAGCGUGUCUCAGGAUCUGUGGCUGCUCCACUACAGGGGCACAUGGUCUUCAUACCUCUCAUGGGAGAGACCCCCAGGGAACACAACGCUUAGCAUGCGUACCUUUAUGCAGUCGAGGGAUGACUGUCUCUUGUAGACCUGUCUUCUGGCCUGCAUUUUGUGGCCCACUGUUUGUUAAAUGCUAUUUACUUUGGAAAGGCAUUAAGAGGAAAGAAAACAGUGCCCCAGCACCUUCCCCUGAGCCCCUCUGCAGUAAUCGUCUGAAAUGUAAAAACUUCACUCGAACCUUUUCCUUUCCUUGGCUCGCUGGACAGCAAAAGAGCUGGUUUAACUGAAUUGCCCAGUUGUUUGAUGACUCAAUCAGUCAGCAAAUAUUUGUUUUGUGAAGCCUCUGAGUAAAGCGCUCAGUGUUUGAUUAAAUUGUUUGAUGAAACAGAACAAAUAGACGUGUCUUUUGGGCCCCUUGUAGACACCGGCUUUGCUCGAGAUGUGCGCCACUAAUUACCCUCCCACACUAAUUACAGAUCUGAGUCAAACCCAGCUCUUUCCCUUGAACCCAAAGCUAACCCUGGAAAUCUGGUAAUGCAAUUACUGAGCUUGUUUCAACAUGUUGGGGAGAGGGCAAGAGGGGAGAGAGAGAAAAAAGAGAGAAUGUGAAUUUGCCCCAUUUAUGAACCCCACAAUGAGUGAGGGUUACAAAAAAAAAGGCUCUAGACCCAGGGAAUAAUACAAGCAGGCCUGUAGAGCUCAGCAUGGUCUGGUGUCUGAGAUCUGGCUUUGAAAAGAAGCCGGAACCCGCUUUCUUAAGUGGCCUUUAAUGUGUUCCUGUGGGCUUAGGGUUUUUAUUAGCUUAGUUUUUAAUUGAUGUCACAACUCAAAGUCAGGAGCAUAUUUUAAGAAGGAGCAAAGAAUGAAAACACUCGGGAAACACACGAAACAACCCAAACUCUAAACCACAACAGUGAAAAACCGUGUCUUGCUUUUACACAUCAUCUCAGUGUUAGGCAUUUGAUCUGUCAGAUAUGCUUGUCAUACCCACAUAGUUUAUAAUCCAAUAUGUUCAGGCAAGAAUUUUGGCACAACCUGCCAAGAGCGAUCCUGAACUUUCCUUGACACUUUAAAGAGCACGUAAUGUGUUGAGGGGUGUGAGGAAUGACUGAUUUGGUGGGAAGCCUUAACCCUUUCAUCUAGGUCUAAGACUCUUUUGCAGAUAGACCUUGCUGGAAAACAGAGUCCAGGGAGGACCUGCCACAGGUGCUGGUGACAACCAGGAGUGAGUGCUGACAGAUACAGUAUCCACCACGGCCCUCAAAUGCUUGUGUGUCACUAGGGCUCUGAACUAGAAUGUCCUUCGAAGAAGACUUCAUGGGAAGAUGGCAUCCUAUUCAUUUUUGCCUUGGGAUUCCACAGGACUGUUUGGAUGACCUAACCCAAGUUUCAAGUUUGCAUGUUGAAAUCACUUGGAAUGCUUAAGAAAAUAAGAGAAAACAACAACAAUAACAACAACAACAACAACAACAACAAAACCGGUCUAUGAAAAUCAAUGUUGAGUCUGACCUACUACUAACCAACUAGAGUCCCUGCAGCAUCCCUCAAUGAUGAGACUGCAUUCCCUGGUGAUUCUCACGGACAGAUGACUACAGUUCUGCUUCUCAUUAUAUAGAUGAGGAAGCUGCGGCCUGUCUUUAGAGGAGACUGACAGUGUCUGGACAUAACUCUAAACCAAACACCUAUGGAUUUGUUUGAAUGCCUACAGAGUGCUCAGCCCUUCCCUGCUUGUAAGAAGAGCUUGCCGUUAAUAAGCAUCCAGCCUCAGAGGUGUGGUCAGGAAGAACUAAUGGCUAAAGUAGUCACCGAUGUGCAGGCAGGAGCUAAGCUUCAUAACAUGAGUGCUAAUCACAGGAGAGAUGCAAACACUGACGGAUAGAGGAAAGCAUUGCUGGAGUUGGCAUUAGAGAAGAGGCCAGUGUCAGCAGGAAGAGAGGCACACUCAAAGGCAAAAGGUGGGACUAUAUCUUGGAGGCCAGAAUGAGUGGUUCCUUAUUGUGUCCUUUGGUGGCCUGUUCUGGAGGACAUAGGCUUGGAGACAGUGCAUGAGGUCUGAGCAGGGAUUGAAGGCCGCAAGACUGGUUCUGCCUUCUUAGCAGAUGUUUGAAAAUGACUCUGUCCAACAUGGGACAAACGUAAGGUUAAAAUGGAAAGUUAAGAGUGACUAGGUGUGAUGGAGCUCUGUUCUGAUUGGUUGGUGCACCCAAGUCAUAGCAAUGUUCACAUAUUUAAAAAGUCUUCCCUUCUCCACAUCCUUGGCUAAAUGCUACCCUAGACUUGAGGGCUUCGUUUUAAGACAUGGAUUUUGGGGAGUUUUGAGGAGAAGGAAGCAGACAUGAUUGCUAGUGAGGUGGUGUCUUAGUCAGGGUUUCAUUUCUGUGAGGAGACACCAUGACCCAGGCAACUCUUAUA
Molecule: long non-coding RNA, 5357 nt
Organism: Mus musculus (house mouse)
Lineage: Eukaryota; Metazoa; Chordata; Mammalia; Rodentia; Muridae
Product: predicted gene, 30117
Exons: 5
Source: RefSeq, a predicted model, not a curated record